CGGAGGAUCCAAGCGUUAUCCGGAUUUAUUGGGUUUAAAGGGUGCGUAGGCGGCCUGUUAAGUCAGGGGUGAAAGACGGUAGCUCAACUAUCGCAGUGCCCUUGAUACUGAUGGGCUUGAAUGUACUAGAGGUAGGCGGAAUGUGACAAGUAGCGGUGAAAUGCAUAGAUAUGUCACAGAACACCGAUUGCGAAGGCAGCUUACUAUGGUAUUAUUGACGCUGAGGCACGAAAGCGUGGGGAUCAAACAGGAUUAGAUACCCUGGUAGUCCACGCCCUAAACGAUGAACACUCGAUGUUGGCGAUAUACGGUCAGCGUCAAAGCGAAAGCGUUAAGUGUUCCACCUGGGGAGUACGCCCGCAAGGGUG
RNAcentral lists this ribosomal RNA (368 nucleotides) under uncultured organism. RNAcentral describes it as "bacterial SSU rRNA". It matches the Rfam family "Bacterial small subunit ribosomal RNA", at positions 526 to 896 of the family's 1533-position model. The record is from RNAcentral.